This 398-nucleotide unclassified non-coding RNA is filed under the name Uncaria homomalla. RNAcentral describes it as "partial external transcribed spacer". Lineage: Eukaryota; Viridiplantae; Streptophyta; Magnoliopsida; Gentianales; Rubiaceae. The record is from RNAcentral.
GCAGCGACGCCCAUCCGUGCAUGCCCCAUCAGUCGUCGGCUCGAGUGCGAUUUAGCCUCGGCUGCAAGUGGGUUUCCUGUGUUGCGUACCUACUGAAAUGGAAUUUGGCUGUCCCAACGUUUGUACAUCCGUCUCGCGCUGUCCCUUCGGGGAGCGGCGUCGAGCGGACCUUAAAGCGGCGCCCGUGUUCCGGCUUCUCACGUUACGUGUUGUUGUCCGGCCCAUGGACCGUCGCUCGGGCUCUCGGAUGCGGAAUACUCAGAGGGUAGGGUUGUCUUUUCGACCCUUGUUUGCCCAAAACAAAUUUCGUUACCGAACGACUGCCGUCGUUCCGUAGAGGCGCUGGAUCCCCCGGAUCCGUCGUCCUCUCGGGAUGUCGGCGUCUGCGAGGAAUGCUA